CCUACGGGGGGCAGCAGUCGAGAAUCAUUCACAAUGGGGGAAACCCUGAUGGUGCGACGCCGCGUGGGGGAAUGAAGGUCUUCGGAUUGUAAACCCCUGUCAUGUGGGAGCAAAUUAAAAAGAUAGUACCACACGAGGAAGAGACGGCUAACUCUGUGCCAGCAGCCGCGGUAAUACAGAGGUCUCAAGCGUUGUUCGGAAUCACUGGGCGUAAAGCGUGCGUAGGCUGUUUCGUAAGUCGUGUGUGAAAGGCGCGGGCUCAACCCGCGGACGGCACAUGAUACUGCGAGACUAGAGUAAUGGAGGGGGAACCGGAAGUCUCGGUGUAGCAGUGAAAUGCGUAGAUAGCGAGAGGAACACUCGUGGCGAAGGCGGGUUCCUGGACAUUAACUGACGCUGAGGCACGAAGGCCAGGGGAGCGAAAGGGAUUAGAUACCCGUGUAGUC
RNAcentral lists this ribosomal RNA (446 nucleotides) under uncultured bacterium. RNAcentral's name for it is "partial 16S ribosomal RNA". It matches the Rfam family "Bacterial small subunit ribosomal RNA", at positions 338 to 795 of the family's 1533-position model. The record is from RNAcentral.